GACGAGCGGUGGCGGCGUGCCUAAUACAUGCAAGUCGAGCGAGCGGAGCUAACAGAUUUACUUCGGUAAUGACGUUAGGAAAGCGAGCGGCGGAUGGGUGAGUAACACGUGGGGAACCUGCCCCAUAGUCUGGGAUACCACUUGGAAGCAGGUGCUAAUACCGGAUAAGAAAGCAGAUCGCAUGAUCAGCUUUUAAAAGGCGGCGUAAGCUGUCGCUAUGGGAUGGCCCCGCGGUGCAUUAGCUAGUUGGUAAGGUAAAGGCUUACCAAGGCGAUGAUGCAUAGCCGAGUUGAGAGACUGAUCGGCCACAUUGGGACUGAGACACGGCCCAAACUCCUACGGGAGGCAGCAGUAGGGAAUCUUCCACAAUGGACGCAAGUCUGAUGGAGCAACGCCGCGUGAGUGAAGAAGGUUUUCGGAUCGUAAAGCUCUGUUGUUGGUGAAGAAGGAUAGAGGUAGUAACUGGCCUUUAUUUGACGGUAAUCAACCAGAAAGUCACGGCUAACUACGUGCCAGCAGCCGCGGUAAUACGUAGGUGGCAAGCGUUGUCCGGAUUUAUUAGGCGUAAAGCGAGCGCAGGCGGAAGAAUAAGUCUGAUGUGAAAGCCCUCGGCUUAACCGAGGAACUGCAUCGGAAACUGUUUUUCUUGAGUGCAGAAGAGGAGAGUGGAACUCCAUGUGUAGCGGUGGAGUGCGUAGAUAUAUGGAAGAACACCAGUGGCGAAGGCGGCUCUCUGGUCUGCAACUGACGCUGAGGCUCGAAAGCAUGGGUAGCGAACAGGAUUAGAUACCCUGGUAGUCCAUGCCGUAAACGAUGAGUGCUAAGUGUUGGGAGGUUUCCGCCUCUCAGUGCUGCAGCUAACGCAUUAAGCACUCCGCCUGGGGAGUACGACCGCAAGGUUGAAACUCAAAGGAAUUGACGGGGGCCCGCACAAGCGGUGGAGCAUGUGGUUUAAUUCGAAGCAACGCGAAGAACCUUACCAGGUCUUGACAUCUAGUGCCAUUUGUAGAGAUACAAAGUUCCCUUCGGGGACGCUAAGACAGGUGGUGCAUGGCUGUCGUCAGCUCGUGUCGUGAGAUGUUGGGUUAAGUCCCGCAACGAGCGCAACCCUUGUUAAUAGUUGCCAGCAUUAAGUUGGGCACUCUAAUGAGACUGCCGGUGACAAACCGGAGGAAGGUGGGGAUGACGUCAAGUCAUCAUGCCCCUUAUGACCUGGGCUACACACGUGCUACAAUGGGCAGUACAACGAGAAGCGAGCCUGCGAAGGCAAGCGAAUCUCUGAAAGCUGUUCUCAGUUCGGACUGCAGUCUGCAACUCGACUGCACGAAGCUGGAAUCGCUAGUAAUCGCGGAUCAGCACGCCGCGGUGAAUACGUUCCCGGGCCU
Molecule: ribosomal RNA, 1385 nt
Filed under: uncultured bacterium
Lineage: Bacteria
Description: bacterial SSU rRNA
Rfam family: Bacterial small subunit ribosomal RNA
Source: RNAcentral